UGAGGAAUAUUGGGCAAUGCCCGCAAGGGUGACCCAGCAACGCCGCGUGGAGGAUGAAUGUCGUAAGAUUGUAAACUCCUGUUAGAGGGGAAGAAUAGUACCGGUUGGACCGGUAUAUGACUGUACCCUCAGAGAAAGCCCCGGCUAACUACGUGCCAGCAGCCGCGGUAAUACGUAGGGGGCACGCGUUGUCCGGAUUUACUGGGUGUAAAGGGCGCGCAGGCGGGAUAAAAAGUCAGUGGUGAAAUCCUACAGCUUAACUGUAGAACUGCCUUUGAUACUUUUAUUCUUGAGUUCGGGAGAGAGAGACGGAAUUCCAGGUGUAGUGGUGAAAUACGUAGAUAUCUGGAAGAACACCAGUUGCGAAGGCGGUCUCUUGGUCCGACACUGACGCUGAGGCGCGAAAGCGUGGGGAGCAAACA
RNAcentral lists this ribosomal RNA (422 nucleotides) under uncultured bacterium. RNAcentral's name for it is "bacterial SSU rRNA". It matches the Rfam family "Bacterial small subunit ribosomal RNA", at positions 355 to 774 of the family's 1533-position model. The record is from RNAcentral.